RNAcentral lists this ribosomal RNA (492 nucleotides) under uncultured bacterium. RNAcentral's name for it is "partial 16S ribosomal RNA". It matches the Rfam family "Bacterial small subunit ribosomal RNA", at positions 29 to 507 of the family's 1533-position model. The record is from RNAcentral.
AGUGAACGCUGGCGGCAGGCCUAACACAUGCAAGUCGAACGGCAGCACAGUAAGAGCUCGCUUUUUCGGGUGGUUACUGGCGGAUGGGUGAUGAAUACAUCCCCAUCUACUUUUUCGUGGGUGAUUACGUGGGGCAACUUACGCUACUACCGCAUACGACCUACUGGUUGAAGCUUGGUAUCUUCCUACCUCUCGCUAUCUAAUGACUCGAUGUCGGAUUAGUUAGUUGGCGGGGUAAAGGCCCACCAAGGCGACGAUCCGUAGCUGGUCUGAGAGGAUGAUCAGACAAACUGGAACUGAGACACGGUCCAGACUCCUACGGGAGGAAGAAGUGGGGAAUAUUGGAAAAUGGGCGAAAGCCUGAUCCAGCAAGACCGCGUGGGGGAAGAAGGCCUUCGGGCUGUAAAGCCCGUUUGGUGGGAAGGAAGGGCAGCAGGUUAAUAACCCGCUGUUGUGACGGUACCCAAAGAAUAAGCACCGGCUAACUUCGUG